Molecule: ribosomal RNA, 394 nt
Filed under: uncultured bacterium
Lineage: Bacteria
Description: bacterial SSU rRNA
Rfam family: Bacterial small subunit ribosomal RNA
Source: RNAcentral
AAUCAACGCUGGCGGCGUGCCUCAGACAUGCAAGUCGAACGAUUAAAGCUCUCUUCGGAGAGUGUAUAGAGUGGCGCACGGGUGAGUAACACGUAAGUAAUCUACCCUCGAGUGGGGAAUAACGUCCGGAAACGGACGCUAAUACCGCAUAAUGCAGCGGCACCGCAAGGUGACAGUUGUUAAAGAUUUAUCGCUUGAGGAGGAGCUUGCGGCAGAUUAGCUAGUUGGUAAGGUAAUGGCUUACCAAGGCUACGAUCUGUAACCGGUCUAAGAGGACGGUCGGUCACACUGACACUGAAUAACGGGUCAGACUCCUACGGGAGGCAGCAGUCGGGAAUUUUGGGCAAUGGGCGAAAGCCUGACCCAGCAACGCCGCGUGAAGGAUGAAGUAUUU